UCCCUGGUAGCUCAGACGGUAAAAGCGUCUGCCUGAAAUGCUGGAGACCCAGGUUUGAUCCCUGGGUAAGGAA
This 73-nucleotide transfer RNA is filed under the name Bos taurus (domestic cattle). It matches the Rfam family "tRNA". Rfam says of the family: Transfer RNA (tRNA) molecules are approximately 80 nucleotides in length. Their secondary structure includes four short double-helical elements and three loops (D, anti-codon, and T loops). Further hydrogen bonds mediate the characteristic L-shaped molecular structure. tRNAs have two regions of fundamental functional importance: the anti-codon, which is responsible for specific mRNA codon recognition, and the 3' end, to which the tRNAs corresponding amino acid is attached (by aminoacyl-tRNA synthetases). tRNAs cope with the degeneracy of the genetic code in two manners: having more than one tRNA (with a specific anti-codon) for a particular amino acid; and 'wobble' base-pairing, i.e. permitting non-standard base-pairing at the 3rd anti-codon position. RNAcentral also lists the same sequence under 2 other names. The record is from Rfam by way of RNAcentral. Lineage: Eukaryota; Metazoa; Chordata; Mammalia; Artiodactyla; Bovidae.